GAGCGGAAAACGAAAACAUAUAUCGUGAACGGUUUCGGCCCGUUUUUUGGCGUUUAAGGUGUGGACGCCUCCGUUGA
RNAcentral lists this transfer RNA (77 nucleotides) under Montfortula punctata. RNAcentral describes it as "tRNA-Arg". Lineage: Eukaryota; Metazoa; Mollusca; Gastropoda; Lepetellida; Fissurellidae. The record is from RNAcentral.